Molecule: ribosomal RNA, 313 nt
Filed under: uncultured bacterium
Lineage: Bacteria
Description: bacterial SSU rRNA
Rfam family: Bacterial small subunit ribosomal RNA
Source: RNAcentral
GAUGAACGCUAGCGGCAGGCCUAAUACAUGCAAGUCGGACGGGAUAGGAGAGCUUGCUUUCCUUGAGAGUGGCGCACGGGUGCGUAACACGUAUGCAACCUACCUUUGUCAGGGGGAUAGCCUCUCGAAAGAGAGAUUAAGACCGCAUAACAUUAUUGAGUGGCAUCAUUUAAUAAUCAAAUAUUUAUAGGACAAAGAUGGGCAUGCGGAACAUUAGCUAGUUGGUAAGGUAACGGCUUACCAAGGCUACGAUGUUUAGGGAUCUGAGAGGAUGAUCCCCCANACUGGUACUGAGACACGGACCAGACUCCUA